AAAAAAUAAAAAAUAAAUUUUUUUUUUGGCCAUAAUAUCCUUCAUAGCCUCAUCAUAUGAACAUGAAUUGUAUUGUAUAUUACUAAAAAGAGAAAUAACUUCAAAAAAUUAAAAAUAAUACCUUCAAAUCAACUACUAAUAUGAAGGGAAGAUGUUUCCUUGAGAAUGAAUGAAAGGCAAAAUCUUUCUUGUAAAUGGGAGAAAUUUUAAGGGAUUUUUUUGGCAUUUUUGGCCAAAUUAUUCAAGUGGCUUAAAUGAGCUCAUCGUUCGCCCACCCAACCAGCAUACAAGCUUGCGCUAAUACGAGAUAUGCAAAGAGAGAUUGGUGGUGACAUUAAGCAGAGCAAUAAAUGACGGCAAUUUGGUGCAACCCACAACCAUUUUCAUCACAGUUGUUGCCAGGCAGCAGGGUCCAAUCGAUUCUUGUUUCUUGCUUUCUGUUUCCCCUUCUUUCAAUGAUUUCUUCCCGGGAUUUCUACUUAUUGUUCAACAGAUUUAAUUUUGAUCUUCUAUGCAGAGGAUUUAUGGGUUCCAAUGCUGCUCUAGUCCACCCAAUCACAAAAAUAGAGAAACCCAAACUCCCCAGUUAUUGAAGGUUGCUGUCAGUGGUGUUACAGAACUCCUAAGGCUCAUUUCUUUUACUG
This 644-nucleotide long non-coding RNA is filed under the name Olea europaea subsp. europaea. Lineage: Eukaryota; Viridiplantae; Streptophyta; Magnoliopsida; Lamiales; Oleaceae. The record is from RNAcentral.